GGACGGGUGAGUAAUGCAUAGGAAUCUGCCCGAUAGUGGGGGAUAACCUGGGGAAACGUAGGCUAAUACCGCAUACGUCCUACGGGAGAAAGGGGGCUUCGGCUCCCGCUAUCGGAUGAGCCUAUGUCGGAUUAGCUGGUUGGUGAGGUAAAGGCUCACCAAGGCGACGAUCCGUAGCUGGUCUGAGAGGAUGAUCAGCCACAUCGGGACUGAGACACGGCCCGAACUCCUACGGGAGGCAGCAGUGGGGAAUAUUGGACAAUGGGGGGAACCCUGAUCCAGCCAUGCCGCGUGUGUGAAGAAGGCCCUCGGGUUGUAAAGCACUUUCAGUGAGGAAGAACGCCUGGUGGUUAAUACCCAUCAGGAAAGACAUCACUCACAGAAGAAGCACCGGCUAACUCCGUGCCAGCAGCCGCGGUAAUACGAAGGGUGCAAGCGUUAAUCGGAAUUACUGGGCGUAAAGCGCGCGUAGGUGGCUUGAUAAGCCGGUUGUGAAAGCCCCGGGCUCAACCUGGGAACGGCAUCCGGAACUGUCAAGCUAGAGUGCAGGAGAGGAAGGUAGAAUUCCCGGUGUAGCGGUGAAAUGCGUAGAGAUCGGGAGGAAUACCAGUGGUGAAGGCGGCCUUCUGGACUGACACUGACACUGAGGUGCGAAAGCGUGGGUAGCAAACAGGAUUAGAUACCCUGGUAGUCCACGCCGUAAACGAUGUCGACCAGCCGUUGGGUGCCUAGCGCACUUUGUGGCGAAGUUAACGCGAUAAGUCGACCGC
RNAcentral lists this ribosomal RNA (770 nucleotides) under uncultured Halomonas sp. RNAcentral's name for it is "bacterial SSU rRNA". It matches the Rfam family "Bacterial small subunit ribosomal RNA", at positions 100 to 872 of the family's 1533-position model. The record is from RNAcentral. Lineage: Bacteria; Pseudomonadati; Pseudomonadota; Gammaproteobacteria; Oceanospirillales; Halomonadaceae.